AGAGUUUGAUCCUUGCUCAGGACGAACGCUGGCGGCACGCCUAACACAUGCAAGUCGAACGGAGAAAAUGAUUUCGGUUAUUUUCUUAGUGGCGGACGGGUGAGUAGCACGUGAGGAACCUGCCUCUGAGAGUGGGAUAGCUUCUGGAAACGGAUGGUAAUACCGCAUAACAUAGCGAAACCGCAUGAUUUUGCUAUCAAAGUAUUUCGCUCAGAGAUGGCCUCGCGUCUGAUUAGAUAGUUGGUGAGGUAACGGCUCACCAAGUCGGCGAUCAGUAGCCGGACUGAGAGGUUGAACGGCCACAUUGGGACUGAGACACGGCCCAGACUCCUACGGGAGGCAGCAGUGGGGGAUAUUGCACAAUGGGGGAAACCCUGAUGCAGCGAUGCCGCGUGGAGGAAGAAGGUUUUCGGAUUGUAAACUCCUGUCGUAAGGGAAGAGAAAGGACUGUACCUUACAAGAAAGCUCCGGCUAACUACGUGCCAGCAGCCGCGGUAAUACGUAGGGAGCGAGCGUUGUCCGGAAUGACUGGGUGUAAAGGGAGCGUAGGCGGGAUGGUAAGUCAGAUGUGAAACCUGAGGGCUCAACCUUCAGACUGCAUUUGAAACUGCUGUUCUUGAGUGAAGUAGAGGUAAGCGGAAUUCCUGGUGUAGCGGUGAAAUGCGUAGAGAUCAGGAGGAACAUCGGUGGCGAAGGCGGCUUACUGGGCUUUUACUGACGCUGAGGCUCGAAAGCGUGGGGAGCAAACA
Molecule: ribosomal RNA, 749 nt
Filed under: uncultured bacterium
Lineage: Bacteria
Description: bacterial SSU rRNA
Rfam family: Bacterial small subunit ribosomal RNA
Source: RNAcentral